AGGGUUAUAGUUAAUUAUAACAUUAAAUUUGCAUUUUAAAAUUAUUGAAAAUCAAUUAACCUUU
RNAcentral lists this transfer RNA (64 nucleotides) under Ptiliidae sp. BMNH 1274726. RNAcentral's name for it is "tRNA-Ala". Lineage: Eukaryota; Metazoa; Arthropoda; Insecta; Coleoptera; Ptiliidae. The record is from RNAcentral.